GAUGAACGCUGGCGGCGUGCCUAAUACAUGCAAGUCGAGCGAACAGACGAUGCUCUUGCUCCUCUCACGUUAGCGGCGGACGGGUGAGUAACACGUGGAUCACCUCCCUAUAUUACUGGUAUCACUUCGGGAAUCCGGCUCUUAUACCGUAUAAUAUCUUGAACCGCAUUGUUCAAUAGUGAAAGUCGGUUUUUCUGUCUCUUCUAGCUGCAUCCGGGCCGCAUUAGCUAGUUGGUAAGGUAACGGCUUACCAAGGCAACGAUGCGUAGCCGACCUGAGAGAGGGAUAGGCGGCACUGGAACGGAGACACGGACAAGAGGCCUAAGGGAGGCAGCAGUAGGGAAUGUUACGCAAUGGGCGAAAGCAUGACGGAGCAACGCGGCGUGAGUGAUGAAGGUGUUCGGAGCGUAAAAAUCUGUUAUGAGGGAAGAACAAAUGUGGAAGGAAAUAUACACGUAGUGACGGUACCGAAUCAGAAAGCAACGGCUAACUACGUG
RNAcentral lists this ribosomal RNA (497 nucleotides) under uncultured bacterium. RNAcentral describes it as "partial 16S ribosomal RNA". It matches the Rfam family "Bacterial small subunit ribosomal RNA", at positions 28 to 507 of the family's 1533-position model. The record is from RNAcentral.